RNAcentral lists this ribosomal RNA (492 nucleotides) under uncultured bacterium. RNAcentral's name for it is "partial 16S ribosomal RNA". It matches the Rfam family "Bacterial small subunit ribosomal RNA", at positions 29 to 507 of the family's 1533-position model. The record is from RNAcentral.
AGUGAACGCUGGCGGUAGGCCUAACACAUGCAAGUCGAACGGCAGCACAGUAAGAUCUUGCUCUUACUGGUUGCGAGUGGCGGACGGGUGAGUUAUACAUCGGAAUCUACUUUUUCUUUUGGGAUAACGUAGGGUAACUUACUCUCAUACCGCAUACGACCUACGGGUGAAAGCAGUGGAUCUUCGUACCUUGCGCGUUUUUAUGAGCCGAUGUCGGAUUAGCUAGUUGGCGGGGUAAAGGCCCACCAAGUCGACGAUCCGUAGCUGGUCUGAGAGGAUGAUCAGACAAACUGGAACUGAGAAACGGACCAGACUCCUACGGGAGGCAGCAGUGGGGAAUAUUGGACAAUGGGCGCAAGCCUGAUCCAGCAAUACCGAGUGGGUGAAGAAGGCCUUAGGGUUGUAAAGCACUUUUGUUGGGAAAGAAAAGCAGCAGGUUAAUACAACGAUGUAAUGACGGUACCCAAAGAAUAAGCACCGGCUAACUUCGUG